GAUGUUAUGAUGUUGAGGCGACAAUUAGGCGAAGGAUAAAACGAAUCGGCUCGCUUGACCAAUUGUCGUCUAAUUCUCACGAGAAAUAUAACAUAAUUCCAAAUCUCUGUAAUCAACUGUUUCUUCGACUAAAAUUUGAAUUUGACGCAACAGGAAUGUGCGAUUGCGUGUCGUUUGGAAUUUAGAUCAAACUCGGCACCCAAUUACGUUCGGAAUUUGAUUAUAGGAAGGACUACAGUUCUUCGAUACAGAGUUCCACUCAAACCCUAAUUAUGAGUUUCAGAAUUCACGGCCUCUGAACGCUAUCAUAAGAAUAAGAAUUGGAAAAUAUGAGCGGGAACGAGUUCAGAUUCUUCUUGUCCUGCGACAUCAAUCUCCCAGUGACCUUUCGCAUCGAGAGGUUGGAGGGCAAUUUGCCACCUAACAAGUCCCCCAAUUCAGAAAUCGAUUCCACAACAGAGGAGAGAAAAGCAGAGCUAUAUGUUGAGUGUGCAUUGUACAUCGAUGGCACUCCAUUUGGCCUUCCCACGAGAACAAGGUUGGAAUCUACCGGACCACCAUAUUGUUGGAAUGAACUCAUAACAUUGAGUACUAAAUAUCGAGACUUAACUGUUCACUCACAACUUGCUUUGACGGUUUGGGAUGUUUCAUGUGGGAAAGACGAGGGAUUGAUUGGUGGAGCAACAAUUCUUCUCUUUAAUGGCAAAAAGCAACUCAAAACAGGGAAGCAAAAGCUUAGGCUUUGGCCAGGAAAAGAAGCAGAUGGGUCAUUUCCUACGACUACUCCUGGAAAGGUGCCGCAGCAUGAGCGUGGGGAGUUGGAGCGCUUGGAAAAGCUUGUGAACAAGUAUGAGAGGGGACAGAUUCAACGUGUCGAUUGGCUGGACCGCCUCACAUUUAAAGCUAUGGACAGAAUUAAGGAACGUGAAAGCUCUAAAAAUGGAAGUUCUCAUCUGUAUGUGGUUGUUGAUUUCUGUAGCUUUGAACAUCAAGUUGUUUUCCAGGAAUCAGGAUCAAACUUCUUAUUACCGUCUCCUAUAACUUCAACAAAUGAAUUUGUUACCGUCUGGGACCCAGAAGUUGGAAAGAUAAAUCCCUCUGAGCACAAGCAAUUAAAGCUUGCAAGGAGUUUAACCCGUGGUAUUAUUGACAGGGAUCUUAAACCAAGCUCUAAUGAGAGAAAGUCAAUACAAAGAAUAUUAAAAUACCCACCGACAAGGACUUUGAGUGGAGAUGAGAGGCAACUACUAUGGAAAUUCCGUUUCUCAUUGAUGGCUGAGAAAAGGGCUCUCACAAAGUUUCUCCGAUGUGUUGAAUGGAGUGAUGUUCAGGAAGCAAAACAGGCAUUAGAGUUAAUGGGUAAGUGGGAAAUGAUUGAUGUCUGCGAUGCGCUGGAGCUUCUGUCUCCUGUUUUUGAAAGUGAAGAGGUGCGUGCAUAUGCUGUUAGUGUUCUUGAAAGAGCUGAUGAUGAAGAGCUCCUGUGUUAUUUACUUCAACUGGUUCAGGCUCUUCGGUUUGAGCGCUCUGAUAAAUCUCGCCUUUCUCAUUUCCUUGUGCAACGUGCGUUGCGCAAUAUUGAGUUCGCUAGCUUUCUUCGCUGGUAUGUUGCUGUUGAACUUUAUGAUCCAGCGUACGCCAAACGUUUCUAUUGUACCUACGAGAUUCUGGAAGAGAAUAUGAUGAAGUUGGCAGGAGGUGUAAGUGGAGAUGAAGAUGGAUUUAAAUUGUGGCAAAGUUUGGUGCGUCAAACAGAAUUAACUGCCCAAUUGUGUUCAAUUAUGAGAGAUGUAAAAAAUGUACGUGGUAAUACUCAGAAGAAGAUUGAAAAGCUUAGACAGCUGCUUUCUGGUCUUCUUAGUGAACUUACCUAUUUUGAAGAGCCAAUACGAUCACCACUGGCUCCAAAUGUCCUCAUCACUGGGCUCGUGCCAUCUGAGUCAUCAAUAUUUAGAAGUGCAUUGCAUCCCUUGCGCUUAACUUUCCGAACAGCAAAUGGCGGAAGUUCCAAAAUCAUAUUUAAAAAGGGAGAUGAUAUUCGGCAAGACCAAUUGGUUGUUCAAAUGGUAUCACUCAUGGAUCGAUUGCUUAAAUUGGAAAAUCUUGAUCUGCACCUUACUCCAUAUAAGGUUCUAGCAACUGGGCAAGAUGAAGGCAUGUUGGAAUUCAUACCAUCCCGUUCUUUAGCACAGAUUAUCUUAGAGCAGCGUAGCAUUAUUAGCUAUCUCCAGAAGUUUCAUCCGGAUGAGCAUGGUCCAUUUGGCAUUACAGCCACCUGCCUUGAAACAUUUAUAAAAAGCUGUGCUGGCUACUCUGUUAUCACUUAUAUACUGGGUAUUGGAGACAGGCACCUAGACAACCUUCUCCUCACAGAAGAUGGGCGUCUUUUCCAUGUUGAUUUUGGUUUCAUUCUCGGUCGAGACCCAAAGCCGUUUCCACCGCCAAUGAAGCUCUGCAAAGAAAUGGUCGUGGCUAUGGGUGGACAAGAAAGUCAAUAUUAUACAAGGUUCAAAUCCUAUUGUUGCGAGGCAUACAACAUCCUCCGUAAAUCAAGUAACCUUAUUUUAAAUCUGUUUCAUCUAAUGGCGGGUUCCAACAUUCCUGACAUAGCUUCUGAUCCUGAAAAAGGCAUUCUAAAGCUUCAGGAGAAGUUCCGUUUAGACUUGGAUGAUGAAGCUUCAAUACAUUUUUUCCAGGAUCUUAUCAAUGAGAGUGUUAGUGCACUGUUUCCUCAAAUGGUUGAGACUAUUCAUAGGUGGGCUCAGUACUGGCGCUGAUCCCAGAGAGAAAUUUUGUUUCAUAAACACCUUUGUAAAUAGCCAGGGUGCAGCCGAUACUCUGUUUAGAUCCUGAAAAGACAAACAUAGAGGAUAGAAAAUAUGACAGCAAUCAUCUUCAACAACUCUAUGGAGCAUUAUGAUCGGCAGCCAUGAACUACCUGUCAUCCCAAAGGGCGAGAGCAGGAAAAAAAAAAAAAAAAUUAUAGAACUUUAUUGAAAUGUAUAGAAACUUCGUAGUGUCAUAUGUAAAUUUCUUUUCAGAUUUGGUUGAAUCAAUUUUUUAUAUUAGGACUCUUUCCUUUUUUGGUUAUUGCCGCUAUAUCUAGAUUCCAGGGAUUUCGAGAUGGCAUUUUAGCUUUCCUGGCCAAAAUUCUAAA
Molecule: RNA transcript, 3154 nt
Organism: Alnus glutinosa
Lineage: Eukaryota; Viridiplantae; Streptophyta; Magnoliopsida; Fagales; Betulaceae
Gene name: phosphatidylinositol 3-kinase, root isoform
Exons: 19
Source: RefSeq, a predicted model, not a curated record